GGUGUGACUCUGCGGUAGAGUGCUCGCCUCACAUGCGUGAGACCCUGGGUUUAAUCCUCAGCAUC
This 65-nucleotide transfer RNA is filed under the name Ictidomys tridecemlineatus (thirteen-lined ground squirrel). Its description in RNAcentral is "Spermophilus tridecemlineatus (thirteen-lined ground squirrel) tRNA". It matches the Rfam family "tRNA". Rfam says of the family: Transfer RNA (tRNA) molecules are approximately 80 nucleotides in length. Lineage: Eukaryota; Metazoa; Chordata; Mammalia; Rodentia; Sciuridae. The record is from Rfam by way of RNAcentral.